This is an RNA transcript of Pezoporus occidentalis (night parrot), 5161 nucleotides long. It is a transcript of the gene named COP9 signalosome subunit 7B, with no coding region annotated. The record is from RefSeq and is a predicted model, not a curated record. The transcript has 8 exons. NCBI's taxonomy places the organism in Eukaryota, Metazoa, Chordata, Aves, Psittaciformes, Psittacidae.
GCACGGGACACCGGCGCCGCCAUCAUGGCGGCCUGAGGCGCGGCGGGCACGGCGGUGGGAGUCGCAGGGCGGGAGGCCGUGAGCGGAGAGAUUGAAAACCUAGAAUGGCAGGAGAACAGAAGCCGUCCUGCAAUCUUCUAGAGCAGUUUAUUUUACUAGCGAAAGGUACAAGUGGCUCAGCUCUGACUGCUCUUAUAAAUCAAGUGCUGGAAGCUCCUGGGGUUUAUGUCUUCGGAGAACUAUUGGAGUUAACGAAUGUGCAAGAGCUUGCUGAAGGGUCUAAUGCUGCUUAUUUCCAGUUGCUGAACCUGUUCGCGUACGGAACAUACCCAGACUAUGUAGCAAACAAAGAUAACCUACCUGAAUUAACAGUGACUCAGAAAAACAAGCUGAAACACUUGACGAUUGUAAGCCUGGCAUCCAGAAUGAAGUGCAUUCCCUAUUCUGUAUUGCUGAAGGAUCUGGAUAUGAAAAAUCUGAGGGAGUUGGAAGAUCUGAUUAUUGAAGCGGUUUAUACAGAUAUUAUCCAGGGGAAGCUGGAUCAGCGAAACCAGGUGCUAGAGGUGGACUUUUGUAUCGGCAGAGACAUUCAGAAGAAGGACAUCAGUAACAUUGUCAAAACACUCCAGGAAUGGUGUGAUGGUUGUGAAGCGGUUCUUUUAGGAAUUGAGCAGCAAGUACUUAGAGCCAACCAAUACAAAGAGAACCAUCACCGAACUCAACAGCAGGUAGAGAUCGAGCAGAGUUUUUAGAAAUAGGUCAUUGUUUCACUCUGCUCCAUGGUGAAGGUCGGUGUCUCUCAGGGACUGCUGACAUUUUGCUGAUAUUUCAUCAAGUUUGGCCCUACUGCAGAGGUACCAGAGCUGUUAGAGAGCACCAGUUCCUACAGGAUCAGCUGCCAGCUGUGAUGCUAUACCUUUUACAUCACGACUGAGAUGACACCUCUCCUUGCUGGCAGACAAGCCAGGUGGGUAGGCAUUACUCCUCAGAGCUGUUCUUCACUUAAGGAGGUGCAGACUAUUGCCUGGGUUAGCAUAAUGGAAAUUUAAGGACAAGGGCAGUGUUGUAAAUAAGGGGCAAAGCAGAGAGCUGUGUCCUAUCCCAGCUCUCCUACAGCUGCAGAAAGCAACCUUGAGCACAUUAGCUCCUCCGCAGAUGCGUUUCCCAGGACAACCUCUCACUUGUGUGCUGACUUUGUGGCAGAGGUUUAUAGAGUGCUUUGCUCUCCUGGUGGGGCAGAGGUUCAUUGUUGAUGGAAUUGAAGAUGUGUGUGUAUGAGAGGGGGGGUUCUCAAAGCUUCUAAGCUUUAAGAAGUCAUCUUCCUCCUAGUUAACAUACCCUUCUUUUCCCCUGAUGAAGCUAAAGUGGUCCACCAUGGGACUAUCAGCUUGCAGUAUUAUGGGUAAUAUGCCAGGUUAAUUAUGCAGGGGGCAGGAAAAAUAGCCUGUGUCUUUCAACAAUAUCAAAGGGAUGCUACUUAAUGAUUUUCCUAUUAGCUCUUUUCCCAGCCUGCCAGAGUCACUGCAGAAGUGUCAUUUACAAAAGCAGUUUGCAACUCAUUACCCUGGAUUUUCACUGUAGUUCUGCUCCAGAGAGCAUGGGCUUUUGCUAUGUGCCCCAGCCUAAUGAAUUGCCUGGUUUGGUUAGUGCUGCCAUCCCUUCUGACAAGGGUGGUUGCUGACUGACAGGAGUGGGCCCGAGUUCAAUUCCCUUCUUGUUUUUGACUUGUGCUUGUGUCAAGCACAGGCUCCCUCUGGAAGCUGCCUUGUGAUUCCUUCUCUUUGUUUUUCUACAUUCUGCAGGAAGCAGCCUAUGCUUGGAGAAGUCCUAGAGCAAGUGACAGGGGCAUGUGUGCCCUUUCCAGCUGGAAAAUUCCACUGCUGUCCUGCUCUGAGCUUUUCUUCAUUGGUUUGGGAUUUGCUGUCACCUGAGCUGGGCUUUGCAACCCUUCAGCAAUAAAUACCUUGGAAAAGUUGCACUAAUGGUACCAAGGAAACACAUGCAGUGUGGGCUGGGGGAAGAGAACUGAUUUCCCACACGUUUGAGGGCCUCUGUGUCCCUGUUGUGGGAGCUCUAAGGUCUGUUCCUGCUUGUUUGGGCUUUGCAUGGCACUUGUUAGAACAGUGCUAGUAGAGAAAGCUCUUAGCCUGUUUAACUAGAGAGCAGUGUGCUUUUUUCAGGCUGGAGGUCUAUGGCUCAUCUAGUGCUAGGAAUAGCUCCUGGAAAGGGGAAACUGGGGCUGUCCCUGGGUCAUGUCACAGGUACUCCCACUUUGAAGCUGAAUGUGGCUACUGCUUAUUCAGGUGGUAGUGCAGGAAAUGUGUAGGUCCCAUGGGUGUUAGUUUGACCUGAGUGUGAACAGAGGAGCCUGGGACUCUUGCCACCAUUGCUUCCAGGUGCAUGUAAACACCUCUGCUAAAUGCAGAGCUUGCUGUGGAGAUGUCACAUGCCAGCCCCCUGAGGUUGCAGCUUGCAUCCAGGACUGCUCUUCCUGUUCAGUUAUGCUGUCUCUGGGCUGGGAUGUGGCAAGGGAGUUUUCCAGUGCUAGCCCUGCAUCCUUUUACUGGAUGUCAUGAGAGUUUGACCUAGCUGGCCCACAAGGGAGGCAGUGAUGUGAGAUCAGUUUGUUUCUGCUGCAUGUGAUGCCUUCUCCCCUCUUAAUUAUAUUCUUGUGGCCCCUAUUUCCUGCUGGCCUUGUUUCCUACUGAGCUCCUGUCUGGAGACCCAAUUGUGACCUUAUCAGAUGCUUGCUGUGCUCUAAGGAGCUGUUUCUGUUUCCCGUUCUGGCCUAUCUUCUAAACUGAGGAAGGUGCUUGUCAGUGCUCUGAAAACUGACCAGUGUUCUCAGUGUCACUCUGCCUGUCAAACACACCAGUCUGGCUGUGCCAUAUGGGUGCUACAAUUGAAUGGAUCCAAAAGUUUUCCCAAGUGCUCUUUCACCAGAGCGCUGCCUUCUCUCUUGCACAUCAGCCCACACCCUUGUGUGGGCACGGUGUUCCUGUCCUACAGGUGGGAAACCAGCAUGCUGAGUGAGGGUGACUUACGCUGCUCAGAGUGGAAGCAGCGAAGUGAGGAGCCAAACUGUUACCCCCUCCCUCUGCACAGAGAACUCUCACUCUGAUCACUCUCCUGCCAAACUAGUGUCCUUUUGCAGUGCAGCUUUGUCCUUUUCCUUGGGCUUGCUCUUUUCCAGGAAGCCCAGUUGAUGGAAGGAUUCUGCUGUGGGAUUAUGCUGCAGAGGAGUAACAGCGAUCCAGACUGUAUGUGACCCCAGGCUGCGAUCGCUGGGAUAUCCCCUAGCCUGAUCUCAAGUUGUGCCUCACUUAGGAAGUCAGAUUUUGUGGAUUGAAUUCCUGAGUCUUGUUCUGUUGAGGAGAGGCCUUCUGUCACCAGGCAGAUGGUUUCAUUCCAGCUCUGGCUUUGCAGCAGACACGGAACUGGAAGGCGGAUUGGCCUCCCCCUUGUUCCCAGCCUGGUACCUGUUGUGGUCACUCCUCUGGCUCCAUGCUCAAGAACCAGGACCCUGAGGGGGACCUGCAGUAACACCACUGUUCAGACCUGGUGUGCAAGGUCUGCACAGUAUGUGAAUACUUAUUGUCCUGUAGGUUUGCAGGGUAACAGUAGACAGCCCUUCUGAUGGGCAUCUGUUCAUGAGCUCCUGUUACAGCCCCUUCCCUUAGAAGAUAGGUGGAGCAAGUAGGGGGACCUUCACAAGUGUUGUAUUUGCCUUGCAGAGCCUCGACAGAGGGUUGUCAUUACCUACCAGCAUCUCUGGAAGGCUCUAGCUGACUCUCAGGCAGGGCACUGAGCUGCCAGCUGCCUUUCCUGCCUCCCUCCUUCCUGGGGCCUUGAUUUUGUUCCCCAUAGGCAACAUCAUAGGCUUCUGCUCCCCAUCCAGCUGGACUCUGGGCACCAGAGGUGGGUACCUGUUUCUGACAGACACUUUUCUUGCACGAGGCUAGAAACGUCAUGUGUGUGCAUCUAACCUGAUGAUUGAGCUGUCGGGUGUCUGGAUCAAUCCUCUUGUUCUCUAAACCUAAUGUUCUCUAAUAGUUGGGGAGAGUCUGGCUGGAGGUUUCUAUGGUUUCCUGGUGGUUGCUAAGGGAAAGGAUCUCUCUGCCUUUAGGUCUUGGUGACUUUCUUUUUGCCCUGUCCUAGGCGCUGGAGCCCAGCAGAACAUAACGCUCGUUGUUUCACAGCCCAUUACAAUGGUCAGGGUGCAAUUUGGGACUCCUGUCACGGCUGAGCUGGGCACCUGCCACUCUUUUAUUUUUAAUCUCUAUGGCCUCUUUGAAGAAUGAGACCAAAGAGCCUUCAUGCAGGAGUUUGUGCUUUUGCUGUGCUCCCAACCCCCUCGCUUGCUGUUUCCUUUAGAGCUCUGAGUAAUUUUUACAAUUUAUUUCAUGCACUUUACGUAGCAAGAAGCUGUAGCAACAGCUGGGUCCGUGAAUCCUUACCAGGCAGUCCUCAGUGUAUUUUGGUCUAUGUAUUGUCCCAGGCACAGUUAAAUAAAUUUGUGUGGGCAGAAGGGACUUUAUGAAGGUUUGGUGAGUGGGAAUAUCAACAAGAUACUUAGCGAGCUGCUGGAUUCUAGAAUAACAGUGCCUUGGGCAUAAAGCUCUAUUCCCACUAGCACAACUGGGGGCCAGAUCCAACAUGGUCUCUGUUGUUGUCAGCAGGGGCUGCAUCUCCAUGCGGUGCCCAGUCAUAAAGCGAUGGUUACAAGAUGAAAUUUGGACCCAAACCUGCAGACUGGAAGUGGUUAAAACAUGUCUAGGCCAAACGCUGCUCUUGUCACACUGCUGAAAAUCCGGUUCCAGGCUGUUGAACAUGGUGGGCUUAUUUCCAGGGGUGCCAUUCAGGAUGUGGGCACAGAUGAGCUGCCUGAGGCCAUGUGCUCUUGCAGGGAGCUUGGCUGGGUUUUCAGAGGCUGAUGGCUGUGCAGCGCCAGGCAGGAUUCGGUCCAUCAGAGCAUCACAGGAUUGGGCGCAAGUUUACUUUUGCAUAUGGAAUCAAAGCUUAAAAUAUCAGCUGGCCUUCCUCUCACUCCUGACUUACCUAAAACAUCUGAACAAUUUCUUUUUUAACUCAGUUGAAAUCAAUCAAUCUGACAUUUAAAUUGUACGUGAAUUUGAUAAAUAAAGACAGGUUACAAAAUGCC